Long non-coding RNA from Passer domesticus (house sparrow), 2636 nucleotides. RefSeq lists it as uncharacterized. NCBI's taxonomy places the organism in Eukaryota, Metazoa, Chordata, Aves, Passeriformes, Passeridae. The transcript has 3 exons. The record is from RefSeq and is a predicted model, not a curated record.
UGGGGGGGGAUGGAGCCCUGAGCCACGCGGGCAAACAUCUGGCAGGGAGAACAUCUGGCCGGGCGGGGAAAACGGGAACAAACCGCGAGAAAAACCAAAUAUUGCCCGUUAACACCCCCCGCUGGUGAUGUCACCGCGGACAAGGGGAAUCACAGGGCUCCCGUGGGCUGUCACGGGUGUCCCCAGCUCGGGCACCGCCCCGGCCCGUCCCCGCCCCGGGCGGGUCCCGCAGCGGGAGCGCAGAGCCGCCGCACGCAGGUCCCGAAAAACAGCUCCAGGUCAAAUAGCAUAUCAUUUACCUUCUCAUCCUAUUUUGAAUUUCACUAAGAGGAUUCCCUUUCAGGGGAAACAACUUUGCUUUUCUGUGCCAGUGGAAGGUGCAACAGUUUUUACAGAUGGAUCUGGAAGAACUGGAAAAGCUGCUGUAGCCUGGAAGAAGGAUGACCGCUGGGAAUAUGAAGUCAUGUUUCAACAGGAGUCUCCUAAGUUAAUUGAACUUUGCACCAUACUUUUGGCCUUUAUUUCCUAGUUCCGUAAAUAUAGUUACUGAUUCUGUUUAUGUUGCUAAUUUGGUGAAACAGCUGGAUCAAGCUGUGUUGUAUAAUGUAAAGGAAAAACCAUUAUUUGUUAUGUUGUUGAAAUUGUGGACUGUUAUUCGUAAUCAAAAACAUUCCUAUUUUAUUAUGCACAUUUGUAGCCAUACAUCGCUACCUGGAUUCUUUGUUGAAGGUAACACCUGUGUGGAUUCCCUUGUGGCUGCCUCAGCAGUAAAAAUGGUGCCUAAUGGGUUACAGCAAGCUGUUCUAUCUCACCAAUUUUUUCAUCAGGGUGCUCAGGCGCUACGGCAGAAAUUUAAAUUAUCACAUAGCAAAGCAAAGUGAUUAUUUCUUCUUGCUCUGUCUUAUGUCUGACGUUUCACAAUAUUACGGUACUAAUACUAGAGGCUUACUCCCUUUGCAAGAAUGGCAAACAGAUGUUACAAAAAUGCCUGAAUUUGGCUGUCUAAAGUAUGCCCAUGUUACAAUUGACACCUUUUCUCAUGCCAUGGUUGCCUCAGCGUCGGCAGGUGAAACAGCUCGGGAUGUUUUUCAUAAUUUUUGCCAUGCCUUUUCCAUCUUAGGCGUUCCAUCACAUAUAAAGACGGAUAACGGCCCGGGGUAUAUUUCAAAGAAAUUUCAAGUGUUUUUUCGUGCCUGGGGUGUUGGUCAUUCUACUGGUAUCGCUCAUGCUUCGACAGGCCAAGCAAUUAUUGAACGUGCCCAUGGUGUGUUGAAGCGGCAGGUACAAAAACAAAAAGGGGGAAUGCAGAUGGAGUCACCUCAAGUGAGAUUAGAGAAAGCCGUCUAUGUCUUAAACUUUUGGCAUCCUUUACCUGACUUGCAAUUGUCUCCUAUAUUCUAUCAUUUUUCAUUGUUGAAUUCAAAACAACCAAAGUUUCAGAAAGGUAUUAAGGUAUGGGUAAAAGAUUUAAUCACGGGAAAGUGGACUGGCCCAGUGGAAUUAGUAACAUGGGGAAGAGGAUACACAUUUGUUUUAACAGAAAAUGGCCCUCGUUGGGUCUCUUCCCAUUGUGUUAAACCCUAUUUGGAGCACACAGAAAAGAACAGGGUGGGUGGUUCUAAAAAUGAGUAGGUAAUUGCAUUAGUUAUUAGGUGGAUGGAAGCAUGGACCCUCAAAGAAUGUGUGGUAAAGAUGGUAAUUUGAGACAGAGUAAAGGGAGUUAUAGGCUUUCGCUGAAAAUUCAAAAUUUAAGUUAGUGGAUGUUACUUUUGCUUCAUUUCCUUGAAUUCUCUUACAGAGAGGUUGGUAGUACUGAGAAAUGUGUCUUGUACCAUUUUCUGUUGCAGGGCACCGACAGUCCCAAAAUAGGGGAAUUUGAUGUACCUAAGGGAGAAGUGUUGCCUUUGCAUAGGGGUUGAGUCAGUAGCUGAAGUCCACACUUUGAGCGACUAGGUUGGUUGCCCAUUAUGAUAGCAGCAACCAGUUGUAAAGUUAACUGGAUGCUACUUGGUUCUAAGUGGUGACUAGGCAGAUGACUUGGUCUCUGAUUCUGUGUGGGAGAAAGUUAUUUAACUAGAGGUGAAGGUGUCAUUCUGCUAUAAAUGUGUCAUCUGGAAAUUGUGAGGUCUGUAAUGGUAUUUGAAGAUCUGUCUUUAUGUGCCUUGUUUGUAUAUGAACAUUAAGAUUGUGAGGGUGUGUGUUAUGGAGUUGGUAGAAGUUGGUUAUUUGAAUGAAGAAUGGAUCCUCCAUCUGAUUGGAUUUUUGCAAGGACUCUGAAGAAGUACGUAGCAGUUGUAUUUGCAGGUCAAAUACAAAAAGGGGGAAUUGUGGGAAAGACAUUUUGUGCUGUUCUUGUGCGUCAGUGAAGGCUUCCUGGAGAUAAGGAAAGCCCCUUAUCUUUCUCAAGGAACACGUCAAGGCUAUCACUAUGGCAACGUGAUGGAAGAGGGAAACUUAAAAGAUACAGACAUUAGCUGGCUCACAGAAUGAUGUGGCUCCCUGUUUACCUAUUGGGAACUUUGUUUCUUUUUUAUUAGCAAUGGGCAAUGUAUGUUUCUGUUAGGUAAAUGUAAAUAUCUUGGAAAAACUAUAAAAGCAACAUGUUGCGGUAAUAAAUCUCUCUCAUACACCCUUCU